ACAUGUUGCCCUUUUUUCUGGGGGCACUGCCAGGAGGAAUCAGAUUGGCAGAAGCACCAUGGGUAGCAGCUGUUCCAGACAGUAAGACCAAAAGAGGAAGUGGUAGGCAGGGGAGGAGAGGCCGGAGGAAGCUCCCUGCUCUGGAGGAUUCCCUGGCUGCUGGUUACAAAGAAAGGUGAUUCUUUUGUGCAACAGCCUAAACACAAACUUUUGAGAUGAAGCAAACACUUGGAGCCAUUGUGGACUUUGGAAAGAAUGCAAAAUGUGGGUAAUUAUUUGGGGGCAAGCAGAGAAUGAUUGAAAAAUCAAUGGAUACAUACUUCAGAUCGCAGAAACGAUGACAUGUCAAAAUGUCACAAGGGAUGAAGAGGUAAUGAUAGAGUUCGGAAGAAAAUGGAUAAAGUCUCCCUUUGACUAUAGCACUUGCCCGGUUGAAAACAUGAAAGUUACUCACUGAACAGCCUUUUACUUUCUGAAAGUCUUCAACAAUUAUUGUGACUUGAUGUAUCUCUUUCUCUUGUUCUUAACA
Molecule: long non-coding RNA, 529 nt
Organism: Hemicordylus capensis (graceful crag lizard)
Lineage: Eukaryota; Metazoa; Chordata; Lepidosauria; Squamata; Cordylidae
Exons: 3
Source: RefSeq, a predicted model, not a curated record